Molecule: ribosomal RNA, 429 nt
Filed under: Gemmatimonadota bacterium
Lineage: Bacteria; Pseudomonadati; Gemmatimonadota
Description: Gemmatimonadetes bacterium partial 16S ribosomal RNA
Rfam family: Bacterial small subunit ribosomal RNA
Source: RNAcentral
UAGGGAAUCUUUGGCAAUGGACGAAAGUCUGACCGAGCAACGCCGCGUGAGUGAAGAAGGUUUUCGGAUCGUAAAACUCUGUUGUUAGAGAAGAACAAGGACGUUAGUAACUGAACGUCCCCUGACGGUAUCUAACCAGAAAGCCACGGCUAACUACGUGCCAGCAGCCGCGGUAAUACGUAGGUGGCAAGCGUUGUCCGGAUUUAUUGGGCGUAAAGCGAGCGCAGGCGGUUUCUUAAGUCUGAUGUGAAAGCCCCCGGCUCAACCGGGGAGGGUCAUUGGAAACUGGGAGACUUGAGUGCAGAAGAGGGGAGUGGAAUUCCAUGUGUAGCGGUGAAAUGCGUAGAUAUAUGGGGGAACACCAGUGGCGAAGGCGGCUCUCUGGUCUGUAACUGACGCUGAGGCUCGAAAGCGUGGGGAGCAAACAGG